RNAcentral lists this ribosomal RNA (254 nucleotides) under uncultured bacterium. RNAcentral describes it as "partial 16S ribosomal RNA". It matches the Rfam family "Bacterial small subunit ribosomal RNA", at positions 524 to 776 of the family's 1533-position model. The record is from RNAcentral.
UACGUAGGGUGCGAGCGUUGUCCGGAAUUACUGGGCGUAAAGAGCUCGUAGGUGGUUUGUCGCGUUUGUCCGUGAAAACUCACAACUCAAUUGUGGGCGUGCGGGCGAUACGGGCAGACUGGAGUACUGCAGGGGAGACUGGAAUUCCUGGUGUAGCGGUGGAAUGCGCAGAUAUCAGGAGGAACACCGAUGGCGAAGGCAGGUCUCUGGGCAUUAACUGACGCUGAGGAGCGAAAGCAUGGGGAGCGAACAGG